RNAcentral lists this long non-coding RNA (3011 nucleotides) under Bemisia tabaci. Its description in RNAcentral is "lncRNA ENSSSA1UGG001852". Lineage: Eukaryota; Metazoa; Arthropoda; Insecta; Hemiptera; Aleyrodidae. The record is from RNAcentral.
AAAUGCAUGGUAGCAGGUAGCAUACUCACUUGAAAGCGUGUAGUGAAAUCGGUGACCUUAUGUGGGUUUGGUUCAGAUAGGCAACUAAACUAACUGCCCGUCAAAGCGGAAAGUAUCUGUGUGAUUUGAAGGCGCCCGGCCGUGCUUUUGAAGUUCUUUACCGAUGACUCGUUCUCUAUAUGACUGCGAAUUAUUGCACUUGAUGAAUAACCACGCAUGCUGCUUGCGGGUGGGAGACAACACAUAAUAAUAAAUACAGAUAAACUUUAUGAAUAUCUUUGGUGUUUAAAGUAAAGGGUUUCUUCUGCAUCAUGUUCCCCUUUUUAUGUGUUGAAAUCAAGUUGAACUGCGUUUCAGGAACAUAAAUACAUCAGCGGUACACGGAACAUAUCUGCCCUCUCUAUGAGUUGUUUCGCGGUCGUGUUAUUUUGCCUUUUAUUGAGCAGGGGUAUGGGAACUAGGAUGACCUACGGUUCCGUUUGCAUCGAUACUGGUGACGUCAUAAAGGUCUCCUACUUCUCCUGCCGUCAAAUAUUUUUGCCUCCGUACCACGCGGCCUUCGCCUUAAACAGACACCACAUCAUGCAUAUUGGAGGUAUAGGAGGCAAACUUCGUCCGCAGAUUGUCUUUGUGCGGAUGUUCCGAAAUCUUUGGACAAAAUUUCCGGUGGAAGUUCUAAAGCCGGAACCGGCCCGAAAGCCGGUCGUAGAGAAAGGGUUGAUAAUCGCUGCGCGGAUGAACAGGCUUUUCGACGCUCUGCCGUUUCGGCGCCUGACGUGCAACUGCCGGCAUUACACGGACUACUUCGUCUACGGUAAGACGUUCGGGAGCUGGAAGACCCUCGGUGAGGGCUACUGGCCCAUCGACGCUCGCUGCCCCCUCCAUUGCGAGAUCACGAAUGAGACGGACGUCACAGCUCCGGACUUCACCUUGCUGGACAAGUACGGCAAGCCAUACCGUCUCCUGUCGAACUGGAUGGACCCUGUAGAAGAAGGAAAGAGGUUAGACGAGGUGGAGAAGGCAAAGAAGAGGUCCAUAAGGGAGUAUAAGGAAGGACUGAUCAAAAUUACCACCGAAGUCUAGAGAAGUUAGUUAUGUGGUUUGGAUGUUAACUCGUAAAUAAUAUAAAUAACAAAAAAACACUAAGAAGUGGCCCGAACUGUAUGUAACAAAUAAUAAAUAAUAUAUAUCUAUAAAAAUAAGAACUAAUAAUAAACGCAAGAAACAUUUUUGGAAAAAUAAGAAUCAUAAUAAAAUAUAAAACCAAAAAUAUAGGGUCAAACAGUAUGAAGAGAAUUUUUUUCCCGUGAUAGUAAAGGUUCAUUUUUUGGCACCUAUGAAGGGGGGGGGGGGCUUCAAAAAUACCACCUUCACUCAGUGGCAUACAUGGACCAUUUUUCGUGAGCAUCGAGAAACGCAAAAAGAAUUCCUAUAAAUGUUUAAAUUAAAUGUUCAGUAUUUGGGAAGUUAGUUAUCUGAAAUUACAACUCGUCAUUUAGAUUGGAGAGUAUGAAAAUUUAGACAAUUGGACGUAUUUAUGUUAAAAGGAACUAUGUGCAUAGCAUUUGCGUGAGACAUAGUUCCUUUAUGUUAAAAGGAGCUAUAUGCAAAGGAUUUGCGUGAGACAUAGUUCCUUUUAGCAUAAAUACAUAUACUCAUAUUUAAAAUUGUGAAUCACUAAUGGGAAAACCUGUAAAUGACCUCCAUGAUAUCUCUUGCGUCUUUCCAACUCCUUGAUUAUUGAUGUUUUUCAUCCAGUCUGAUGUAGUGCGUCAAUCUCCGACCUCAAAAUUUCGCAUGCAGGUACAAAAAAAACCAUGCGAUCAUGAAGUCGGGGAAAAAAUGAAUUCAACGUUAUUAGGAAGCAGAGUCUCCCCAUCUUCAAGUGUAGAAUAAUAAAUGAUGCCUUCCUACACUUUAGUGUGUUUUCCGAGAAAAAUACUCUAUUUUUUAAUUGGUGAGAAAGUAAAGUGGAAUCUGCUGGAUCGAUCGAAUGUGUUUGUAUCAGUUUAAAAGCAAUAAUAUCAUCACGAAUCACGCUUGAAUACCAAGAGACACAUUUUACUGAGCUCAUUUCACUAUGCAUGUUCUACUAUUCACAUAAAUCAUUAAACUUCAUUUUUGUUCUCAUAUAAAAUCCCCCUAUUUUCCUACCAUGCGGCGAUAUGGACGUUGAAAAUUUAGAUUUAGUUUCAUCGUGGCGGCAGCGCUGUAACGUGGAAGCAAUCAAGUGGAAUUCGUAUUGGCCUCUUGUCUCUCUUCAAGUCCUGAACCCUCUCCACGGACGGACGCUUCUUUCGAUUUGUUUUACAUUUCGAAUAUGGGUUUGAAUACCUCAAGAAUACUGAAUACCUAGCGUGUGGGUCUUCGUAAACCCGAAUCGCUCGAAAGUCCAGCGGCGAACAUUUUAUUGCUCUUACAGGAACAGAGAUUCCUUAGAGAUCGUUUCAAAUAUUGAUCCUACGUUUGAUAGACCCUUUCCUUCGUGCACUUUUCCAGUUCUCUUUAUUGUUAUUACGUUCAUUUAAAUACACAUCCGUCUACGUAGCCUGCGAUCUCAUUGCACAGAGGAAAAUUCAGAUGUAAGCUUUUCUACUAUCUUAUUUGCAUAAUAUAACUGUAUGUCGUUACUAGGUUUUAACUUGAAUUAUCCUAACCCUCUGUAUAUCAAAAGGGUGAAGCAUUAAAUAGUUUAAUUUUCUAUAGGCACUGUUAAUUGGAUUACAUUUUGCAAUAAGGAAAGGAGAAAGGAAGGAGGGAUCUCAUGCUCUUCCGUAAAAGCACCUUUCUGCAUUGAGAAACUAAUGGCGUAUAUGUUGUUUCUAAAAUGAGCCAGAAAGAAUGGUUCCUUAUUGCAAAAUGCAAGCCAACUACGCCUCGAUCAGACUCAUUCAAUCACGGUAGACUUUACCAAAGUUGUGGUUGAAUCAGUCGAAAAAUCUUGUCGCGGUGUAGGACUAGAAUAUUUGGUCCUACGUACAAACACCUGAAAAGUUAUUAUACUGCUUGGU